RNAcentral lists this ribosomal RNA (459 nucleotides) under uncultured bacterium. RNAcentral's name for it is "partial 16S ribosomal RNA". It matches the Rfam family "Bacterial small subunit ribosomal RNA", at positions 338 to 795 of the family's 1533-position model. The record is from RNAcentral.
CCUACGGGUGGCAGCAGUGAGGAAUAUUGGUCAAUGGCCGACAGGCUGAACCAGCCAAGUAGCGUGCAGGAUGACGGCCCUACGGGUUGUAAACCUCUUUUGUAGGGGAGUAAAGCGCCUCACGUGUGACUCUUUGAGUGUACCCUAUGAAAAAGCAUCGGCUAACUCCGUGCCCGCAGCCGCGGUAAUACGGAGGAUCCGAGCGUUAUCCGGAUUUAUUGGGUUUAAGGGGUGCGUAGGCGGCGGUGCACGUCAGCGGUAAAAUUGCGGGGCUCAACCCCGCACUGCCGUUGAAACUGGAUCGCUUGAGUGCGCGAGAAGUAGGCGGAAUGCGUGGUGUAGCGGUGAAAUGCUUAGAUAUCACGAAGAACCCCGAUUGCGAAGGCAGCUUACUGGACUGGAACUGACACUGAGGCUCGAAAGUGUGGGUAUCAAACAGGAUUAGAUACCCUGGUAGUC